This 651-nucleotide long non-coding RNA is filed under the name Phasianus colchicus (ring-necked pheasant). RNAcentral's name for it is "lncRNA (ENSPCLG00000016774.1)". The record is from RNAcentral. Lineage: Eukaryota; Metazoa; Chordata; Aves; Galliformes; Phasianidae.
GCUGGGGUGGCUCUAUGGGGUGGGGUGAGCAUGUUAUGGGGAUUGACGGGGGGCCAAUGUGGGGUUGGGGUGAUGCUGAGGGGUCACGGGGGCACCCCAGAGGGUCAAUGUGGGGCUGGGCUCACCCUAUGGGGUGAUAAGAUCACCCUACAGGGAUGCUAUGGGAACGGGGGUCACCCCCUAUACUUAUGGGGCCACGUUAACCCCUCUCAUCCCCCCCCACUGCCCCACAUCACCCCACAGUCGAGGACUGGGAGUGCUUCCAGGCCAUCUUGGACCACACUUAUGGCAAACACGUCAAGUCAGAGCCAGGCCUGCACCCCGUCCUCAUGUCUGAAGCGCCGGUACGACCCCCCCCCACCCCACAUCACCCCACAACCCCGCCCCACACAUUGCGCCCGUCCCCCAAACCCCACACGCUGUACCUCCUGCCCCAUAGUGGAACACGAGGGCCAAGAGGGAGAAGCUGACGGAGCUGAUGUUCGAGCACUACAACAUCCCAGCUUUCUUCCUCUGCAAAACGGCCGUCCUCACCGCCUUUGCCAACGGGCGCAGCACGGGGUUGGUGUUGGACAGCGGAGCCACGCACACCACGGCCAUCCCAGUGCACGACGGGUACAUCCUGCAGCAAGGUGCUAUGGGGCGGCUAUG